This 253-nucleotide ribosomal RNA is filed under the name uncultured bacterium. RNAcentral describes it as "partial 16S ribosomal RNA". It matches the Rfam family "Bacterial small subunit ribosomal RNA", at positions 524 to 776 of the family's 1533-position model. The record is from RNAcentral.
UACAGAGGGGGCAAGCGUUAUUCGGAAUUAUUGGGCGUAAAGGGCGCGUAGGCGGCCAUUCAAGUGACGGGUGAAAGCCCUCGGCUUAACCGAGGAACUGCCUGUCAGACUGGAUGGCUUGAGACCGGGAGAGGUGAGUGGAAUUCCCAGUGUAGCGGUGAAAUUCGUAGAUAUCAGGUGGAACACCAGUGGCGAAGGCGGCUUUCUGGACGAUUACUGACGCUGAGACGCGAAAGCGUGGGGAGCAAACAGG